This 913-nucleotide ribosomal RNA is filed under the name Klebsiella michiganensis. Its description in RNAcentral is "partial 23S ribosomal RNA". It matches the Rfam family "Bacterial large subunit ribosomal RNA", at positions 612 to 1530 of the family's 2925-position model. The record is from RNAcentral. Lineage: Bacteria; Pseudomonadati; Pseudomonadota; Gammaproteobacteria; Enterobacterales; Enterobacteriaceae.
AUAAUGGGUCAGCGACUUAUAUUCUGUAGCAAGGUUAACCGUAUAGGGGAGCCGCAGGGAAACCGAGUCUUAACUGGGCGUUAAGUUGCAGGGUAUAGACCCGAAACCCGGUGAUCUAGCCAUGGGCAGGUUGAAGGUUGGGUAACACUAACUGGAGGACCGAACCGACUAAUGUUGAAAAAUUAGCGGAUGACUUGUGGCUGGGGGUGAAAGGCCAAUCAAACCGGGAGAUAGCUGGUUCUCCCCGAAAGCUAUUUAGGUAGCGCCUCGUGAAUUCAUCUUCGGGGGUAGAGCACUGUUUCGGCUAGGGGGUCAUCCCGACUUACCAACCCGAUGCAAACUACGAAUACCGAAGAAUGUUAUCACGGGAGACACACGGCGGGUGCUAACGUCCGUCGUGAAGAGGGAAACAACCCAGACCGCCAGCUAAGGUCCCAAAGUCAUGGUUAAGUGGGAAACGAUGUGGGAAGGCCCAGACAGCCAGGAUGUUGGCUUAGAAGCAGCCAUCAUUUAAAGAAAGCGUAAUAGCUCACUGGUCGAGUCGGCCUGCGCGGAAGAUGUAACGGGGCUAAACCAUGCACCGAAGCUGCGGCAGCGACACUAUGUGUUGUUGGGUAGGGGAGCGUUCUGUAAGCCGUUGAAGGUGGCCUGUGAGGGUUGCUGGAGGUAUCAGAAGUGCGAAUGCUGACAUAAGUAACGAUAAUGCGGGUGAAAAACCCGCACGCCGGAAGACCAAGGGUUCCUGUCCAACGUUAAUCGGGGCAGGGUGAGUCGACCCCUAAGGCGAGGCCGAAAGGCGUAGUCGAUGGGAAACAGGUUAAUAUUCCUGUACUCGGUGUUACUGCGAAGGGGGGACGGAGAAGGCUAUGUUGGCCGGGCGACGGUUGUCCCGGUUUAAGCAUGUAGGCGGAUG